Molecule: long non-coding RNA, 1159 nt
Organism: Cyprinodon tularosa
Lineage: Eukaryota; Metazoa; Chordata; Actinopteri; Cyprinodontiformes; Cyprinodontidae
Exons: 2
Source: RefSeq, a predicted model, not a curated record
AGAACUGAAGGAGUGAUUAAGGUUAAAGUGGACACACUAACUUGUUUAUGAAUAUCCAAGACGAAACGUACAACCUUAAAAGGGUUACAUUCCUGGUUAUCUGUACCGAGCCAACUAAUAUUUAACAGAAUAAACAUUAUAAAUAAGUAAAAGUAAAAAAUUUAUCUCUGCAGAGUUUGCAAGAUCAAGGAUUAGUUUCAUUUAGAAAUCAGACUUUACACAAAUGAGAUGAAAAGUUAAACAUAAUUUCUGUCUCCAAUACGAAAUGCAGAUUGUCACACAUGUUCUUAAUACAUUUCUAACAGUAGAAUACUGAAUAAAAACAGGCUUUACAACUGGAAAAGCACCUUAAGAUUUGAAUUCAGGAAUAUUAUGUAAAUGUAAGAUUAUGUGACCAAGUGCAUAAACUGUCCAAUAAAUCCUAGAUCUAGAUGUCUUUACAAAUGUUGUUAUAAAGCACAGAAAGUCAGAAUGCAGAUUGUCUUUACAAAUAAUAUAGGAUGGCACUCAACUUGCUUCCAGAGGAAAAAGGAUUUUUGCUUAUAUUCUCAUUAUUACUAUACUGCUAAAGUUUUUACUACUUCUUACUACUCUUGUGCAUGAAAACCCUGGUUAAUAAAAUUGGAACAGACGGCUAAGAUAAUAAGAGAAAAUAUUUUCAAUGUUUAAAUUUUUUAGGGCAAAGAUCACCAAAUUGCCCCCAGAUGAUGCCUCCACCCUGUGACAAAAUGGCUGAGCCUCGGGACGCUAUGGAGCCUGAGAAGAACACCUGAGAGCUGAGAGUGGUUUGAUUAUAUUAUUUCUUGUCUUUUCUUUCAUAAUCUAAUUCCCAUGUAAGAGGAACCUGUUUAAGGGUCGCAUUGUAAAUUCAAACUGUUAUUUACUCAUGUUUUUUGUUUUCUUUCCUUGUGUCAUUAACAUAUAAUUGGGGAUUGAUGCAUUUCGAGGAAAAGGACCCAGGAACUCUGUGAUGAGAAGGACCUUACAGAGGAAUAGGAAAGAUUAUUGGAGGAUAUUUGGAAAUAUUAAUAAUUGCAGAUAAGAGAGAAGAUACAUCAAGACAAAAUGGGACUUUACUGCAACAAUCAAAAGUUCCCUUAUUUUAAUUUGAACAUUAAUUACAGAAAGUGGACUCAUGACAAAAAAAAAAAAAAAAACA